GACGAACGCUGGCGGCGUGCUUAACACAUGCAAGUCGAACGAGCGGCGGACGGGUGAGUAAUGUAUGGGGACUGCCCGAUAGAGGGGGAUAACUACUGGAAACGGUGGCUAAUACCGCAUACUAUCGGAUAACCCAUAUGGGAUUAGCUAGUAGGUGGGGUAAAGGCUCACCUAGGCGACGAUCUCUAGCUGGUCUGAGAGGAUGAUCAGCCACACUGGGACUGAGACACGGCCCAGACUCCGACGGAGGCAGCAGUGGGGAAUAUUGCACAAUGGGCGCAAGCCGGAUGCAGCAACGCCGCGUGCGGGAUGACGGCCUUCGGGUUGUAAACCGCUUUCAGCCAUGACGCGGUAGUGGCAGAAGAAGCACCGGCUAACUACGUGCCAGCAGCCGCGGUAAUUC
This 403-nucleotide ribosomal RNA is filed under the name uncultured bacterium. Its description in RNAcentral is "partial 16S ribosomal RNA". It matches the Rfam family "Bacterial small subunit ribosomal RNA", at positions 28 to 526 of the family's 1533-position model. The record is from RNAcentral.